GACGAACGCUGGCGGCGUGCUUAACACAUGCAAGUCGAGCGGUAAGGCCCUUUCGGGGGUACACGAGCGGCGAACGGGUGAGUAACACGUGGGUGACCUGCCCUCAGCUCUGGGAUAAGCCCGGGAAACUGGGUCUAAUACCGGAUAUGACUCCAUGACGCAUGUUGUGGGGUGGAAAGCCUUGUGCGGCUGAGGAUGGGCCCGCGGCCUAUCAGCUUGUUGGUGGGGUGAUGGCCUACCAAGGCGACGACGGGUAGCCGGCCUGAGAGGGCGACCGGCCACACUGGGACUGAGACACGGCCCAGACUCCUACGGGAGGCAGCAGUGGGGAAUCUUGCGCAAUGGGCGAAAGCCUGACGCAGCGACGCCGCGUGAGGGAUGACGGCCUGUGUAAC
Molecule: ribosomal RNA, 395 nt
Filed under: uncultured bacterium
Lineage: Bacteria
Description: bacterial SSU rRNA
Rfam family: Bacterial small subunit ribosomal RNA
Source: RNAcentral